GUGAAUCAUCGAAUCUUUGAACGCAAAUUGCACUCUCCUCGGAGAGUAUGCCUGUUUGAGUGUCAGCCUAUAAAAAUCGACAUAGUUGCUGUUUCGCGGUGGCGUUCGUCGGAAAUUGGGUCAUCUUAAAUACUUUUGAUUUAAGCGACUUACAAUUUUCUUUUGGUUAUAUGAACGUUUCUAAGAUCUAUUUCUUUACACGUUUAAGGUAUCGAUUUUUACUAGAUGUGACCGUGAUAUCGAUCAUGUCCAUAAUAGUUAACUGACUUCAGACAGGUAAGAGUACCCGGUGUACUUA
RNAcentral lists this unclassified non-coding RNA (298 nucleotides) under Glomus sp. Its description in RNAcentral is "partial contains 5.8S ribosomal RNA and internal transcribed spacer 2". The stretch from base 1 to 65 matches the Rfam family "5.8S ribosomal RNA", at positions 84 to 154 of the family's 154-position model. Lineage: Eukaryota; Fungi; Glomeromycota; Glomeromycetes; Glomerales; Glomeraceae. The record is from RNAcentral.